UACGUAGGGUGCGAGCGUUGUCCGGAUUUAUUGGGUUUAAAGGGUGCGUAGGCGGCCUAAUAAGUCAGUGGUGAAAGCCUCCAGCUUAACUGGAGAACUGCCAUUGAUACUGUUAGGCUUGAGUAUACUUGAGGUAGGCGGAAUUGACAGUGUAGCGGUGAAAUGCGUAGAUAUCUGGAGGAACACCGGUGGCGAAGGCGGCAUCCUGGACCAAUUCUGACGCUGAGGAGCGAAAGCCAGGGGAGCAAACGGG
This 253-nucleotide ribosomal RNA is filed under the name uncultured bacterium. RNAcentral describes it as "partial 16S ribosomal RNA". It matches the Rfam family "Bacterial small subunit ribosomal RNA", at positions 524 to 776 of the family's 1533-position model. The record is from RNAcentral.